This is an RNA transcript of Zea mays, 1249 nucleotides long. It is a transcript of the gene named haloacid dehalogenase - TATA-box-binding protein pseudogene, with no coding region annotated. The transcript has 8 exons. The record is from RefSeq and is marked validated. Lineage: Eukaryota; Viridiplantae; Streptophyta; Magnoliopsida; Poales; Poaceae.
CAGGCCACGACACGCCUUGGGCUCUCCUCGAUGCGAUUUGUGAGGCAAGGCUCGCCUUCUUCCACGCACCCAUGGAGGACAAUCUCCAGUUCACCUGAGAUGGGACUCGUCCCGGGCAAAAAACAACUGAUGGCACAAAGUUGCCACCAGCAGCAGUUGAUCUGGGAUUUCCACGAGCCGGAACAACGUUCGUCCGGUCCCUUCAAAUCUCCUGACCUAGGUGCACAUGGUAUGGCUGGCCUGCUCAGCUUGCGUGCCGGUCCGAGGAGUUCACCGUCACUUGCCCGGUCGUCGUCCGCCUGGGCGUCACCGGCUUCACAGGUGGUGGUUCGUCUGACAAGCCCACAGUUUCGCUGUGCCAGACUUUGUAACAGCCGUAGUCUACUAGCAGCAGCAGUCAAGAUCUCUAAGGACGGCUCCUCUGCGGUUCUGGCCAACAGCCUGCCUUUCAAAGGGGCUAUUAAUUGCGGAAUGCUGAUGCGGUAUGUUUUGAUGUUGAUAGCACCGUUGAUAGCACCGUCAUCCUAGACGAGGGCAUUGACGAGGAUACUAAUUUCUGCGGGGCUGGGAAAGCAGUUGCUGAAUGGACUGCAAAGGCCAUGAUAGGGACUGUUCCGUUGAGGAGGCGCUGGCAGCCAGGCUGUCUUUAAUCAAGCCAUCUCUCUCCCAGGUGGAAGAGUGCCCGGAGAAGAGGCCACCAAGUAUGCUCGCAUCAUCAGAAGCUUGGGUUUCCAGCAAAAUUCAAGGACUUCAAGAUUCAGAACAUUGUUAGGUCCUGUGAUGUCAUUUUCAGAACAUUGUUCGGUCCUGUGAUGUCAAAUCCCCAAUCAGGCUCGAGGGUCUUGCAUACUCUCACGGUGCUUUCUCAAGUUAUGAAACAGAGCUCUUCUCUGGCUUGAUCUAUCGAAUGAAGCGGCAAAAAAUCAUGCUGCUGAUUUUUGUUUCCGGCAAGAUUGUUCUGACAAGAGCUAAGGUGAGAGAUGAGACGUACACUGCUUUUGAAAAUAUCUAUCCAGUCCUCACAAAGUUCAGAAAAGUCCGGCAAUGUUAAGUACAUGGUAAUUACUAAUGGGCAUGGGUAAUUAGGGCAUGCUGUUCAACUAUGUGCCCAGUUGUUGUUGUUGUCCCCUUUUUAUCGUUUUGUUUCCUGAUGGUACGGGUGAUCACAUUUUCAGAAAACUUAAGUUCGUCACUUGGUGUAUGUAGAUAACUUAGGAAUGGGCAAAUGCUAUUGCUGGCCGCCAGCUCU